AAGAUCUGAGGCUUCUGGAGUGACAAUUACGUGUUGGUUGGGAUGAUGUGCCAUAGCCAGAACAACAUGAAGUGCCCGUGUUGUGCCAACUAAACCACCUUCCUGCAGUGACAUGUGUAAGAGACUGCAAGUUUCAAAAGAGAAGAAAAAGUUGCUUUCCAUGAGAAACUAAAGAUUCGGCAUCUUGCAGGCAGUCAGAGGGACAGAAAACAUGGCUGAAAGAAGACGCACCAGCUUUGUGACAGACCCAAAGACUACAGUUUGACAUAUCAGGAUUACUUCCCCUUCACUGCCUCUGGUCACCUUCUAGAAGGCAACAGUAUUUUCUGCUUAACU
This 336-nucleotide long non-coding RNA is filed under the name Numida meleagris (helmeted guineafowl). RNAcentral's name for it is "lncRNA (ENSNMEG00000004979.1)". The record is from RNAcentral. Lineage: Eukaryota; Metazoa; Chordata; Aves; Galliformes; Numididae.